This 253-nucleotide ribosomal RNA is filed under the name uncultured bacterium. Its description in RNAcentral is "partial 16S ribosomal RNA". It matches the Rfam family "Bacterial small subunit ribosomal RNA", at positions 524 to 776 of the family's 1533-position model. The record is from RNAcentral.
UACGAAGGGGGCUAGCGUUGCUCGGAAUCACUGGGCGUAAAGGGUGCGUAGGCGGGGCUUUAAGUCAGGGGUGAAAUCCUGGAGCUCAACUCCAGAACUGCCUUUGAUACUGAAGAUCUUGAGUUCGGGAGAGGUGAGUGGAACUGCGAGUGUAGAGGUGAAAUUCGUAGAUAUUGGGAAGAACACCGGUGGCGAAGGCGGCUCUCUGGACCGGAUCUGACGCUGAGGCGCGAAAGCGUGGGGAGCAAACAGG